AGUGAACGCUGGCGGUGUGCUUAACACAUGCAAGUCGAACGAGAACGGAUUAUAGCUUGCUAUAACUGUCAGCUAAGUGGCGCACGGGUGAGUAAUGUAUAGGUAAUAUGCCUCUUACUAAGGGAUAACAAAUGGAAACGUUUGCUAAUACCUUAUACUCCUUAUUAACAUAAGUUAAUAAGGGAAAGAUUUAUUGGUAAGAGAUUAGCCUGUAUUGUAUCAGUUAGUUGGUGGGGUAAUGGCUUACCAAGACUAUGACACAUAACUGGUUUGAGAGGAUGAUCAGUCACACUGGAACUGAGAUACGGUCCAGACUCCUACGGGAGGCAGCAGUGGGGAAUAUUGCACAAUGGACGAAAGUCUGAUGCAGCAACGCCGCGUGGAGGAUGACACAUUUCGGUGCGUAAACUCCUUUUAUAUGAGAAGAUAAUGACGGUAUUAUAUGAAUAAGCACCGGCUAACUCCGUGCCAGCCGCCGCGGUAA
RNAcentral lists this ribosomal RNA (484 nucleotides) under uncultured bacterium. RNAcentral describes it as "partial 16S ribosomal RNA". It matches the Rfam family "Bacterial small subunit ribosomal RNA", at positions 29 to 523 of the family's 1533-position model. The record is from RNAcentral.